ACUCCUACGGGAGGCAGCAGUGGGGAAUAUUGCACAAUGGGGAAACCCUGAUGCAGCCAUGCCGCGUGUGUGAAGAAGGCCUUCGGUUGUAAAGCACUUUCAGUAGGGAGGAAGGUAGUGUAGUUAACACCUGCAUUAUUUGACGUUACCUACAGAAGAAGCACCGGCUAACUCCGUGCCAGCAGCCGCGGUAAUACGGAGGGUGCGAGCGUUAAUCGGAAUUACUGGGCGUAAAGCGCAUGCAGGCGGCUUGUUAAGUCAGAUGUGAAAGCCCGGGGGCUUAACCUCGGAAUUGCAUUUGAAACUGGCAGGCUAGAGUCUUGUAGAGGGGGUAGAAUUUCAGGUGUAGCGGUGAAAUGCGUAGAGAUCUGAAGGAAUACCAGUGGCGAAGGCGGCCCCCUGGACAAAGACUGACGCUCAGAUGCGAAAGCGU
This 433-nucleotide ribosomal RNA is filed under the name uncultured bacterium. RNAcentral describes it as "bacterial SSU rRNA". It matches the Rfam family "Bacterial small subunit ribosomal RNA", at positions 335 to 762 of the family's 1533-position model. The record is from RNAcentral.